CUGAAAUUCAUGGCCCCUGAAGGAAACCAAAGCCGGGAAAAAGUCCUGUGUUCCUGUGGGCCCUUUUGGGGCUCGAGCUCUUUCUCAGCACCUCUUCGUGUUGCCAGCCUGGCCUUGGAGCAGACCCAAGGUAAAUAAUUAUUGCUUCAUGCUGUGCUGACUGCUGCAGAGGGCUCAUCUAAAAUGGAAAGACAUGAGAAGAGCAGACACGGUCAGAAGGGGCAGCGCUGUGGGGAUCUGGUGCUCUGGGAAUGGUUCCUGCCACGUUGGGUUGUGGCACAACGUGCACCAAAUCUGCACUUGUUUCCACAAAAUGAAGUUAAUGGUGAAUAUGUAAAAUAAGCUUCCUAAAGCUGCAAAUGCUUUUCAUCUGACUCCAGCUUCUCUAGAAAUGGUCCAUAAAUGGCACAAAAGUCCUGAGGAAACUAAGCCUAAAGCAUCUUGUUCACAUAGACUGAAUGCUGGAGUCUUCCUAUUAUAUGAAUAUUCUUGAUGCUUCGCUUCUUACUAAAGACUAGCAAAUCUUUAUCAGUUUAUAGCUCUGCAUAGGUUAUUAGUUGUUUCAGGCUUGCACGGCUCUGUUUUUCUUCAUUAAUAUUAGGCUUUUAGCCUUUGAAUUUUUUCUUUUUGAAGAGCUCCAAGUCCAUGGCUGAAGAUCUGAAGUCUUUCUUCAUUAAAAAGAGCAACAACAACUACAGUGUGCAAAUGAGACAUUUAGGGAAACAGAGCAGAAGCAGUUCUAUCUGGAUUGGGCGGCUCUUCUGCAGCGUCCCCAGGUGCUGCAGCAUCUCCCCCUGGGCACCAGCACUGGGUGUCCCCAGCACUGGGUGUCCCCAGCACUGGGUGUCCCCAGCACUGGGUGUCCCCAGCACUGGGUGUCCCCAGCACUGGGUGUCCCCAGCUCUGCAGCAAGGCAAGACUCUGCCUUGCAGUGCACCAAGAUCCAGGCCUUGGGUGGAAAUGCACCAGCCUAGGUUCAAACCUUCCAAAUGACCUUAAAAUGAGGGCUUGGUCUGAACCCUGUGGAUCAGGAUUCCCAUUAUCUGUGGACACUUCUUGGCUCGAAUCAAAACCCAGGAGGGAGAGGCUGUUCUGGGGGAAGGCGCUGAAGACCGGAAAACUUACAGAAACUCUGAAGUGCAACCGAGCCAGUAUGAAAAACUUUGGGGUAAAAUUUGUUUCAAGUUUCUGGUGAGGCAGCAGCAUGGACAAGCCCUUGGCAGAAGCCUGGGUGAGGAUUUUGCGAGGUGAGAGAAGCAGCCUCCUUGGAAAGGUUCUGGCUCAGUUUUUGGGUUGCAGCCCCUGCUGCCUGCCAUCACUCUGUGCUUUGCCCAGCCCAAAGCUGAGCCUCCAGCCACGCUCCCCAGCAGCAUUGACAGAGCCGUGUAGAUGGAUCCUGGGGGCAGCAGCACCAGCAAGAUGCAGGUGUGGAGAGCUUGGGGGCUGGCUCGAGUGGCAGUGAGUCCACAGCAGGCUCAGCGUGCCCAAUUUAUGGCCAUUUACAUGUGAAAUUGCGCUGAUCUAAUUUGCAUAUGCAGUCAUAGUAAUCGCGGGCCAAUUAAACUUGUAGUUCACAAAAUCUGGGCCUGAAACCUUUACAAUUCUUACAAACAUACUAAUCUGAGUGUAUAUAUCACUUCAUCAAAUUCAUGAAACCAUAAAUUGUGCCUGUCUGGCAUCACCAGCUGCAUGCGGGAGUCGCUGGGGCUGGGCUGAAGGAGCCAUCGGCCCCAUGCAGCGGCUGGGGAAGAUAUUUUUAAUGAGCUCUUCCCUAUUCAAGGAUUGAAUCAGCGCUGUUAGGAUGUCAGGGUAAGAUUCAUUGCAAUAUCUGUGGGAGAUUUAUCUUUAUUCUUCCGUUUUUUUAAAAACGUAGUUGUCCUGGAGGAGUUGUUACAAUGUCAAUAAAUGUGUCAUCUACAUUUGUUAGUGCAAAUGCAGUUAUAAAA
Hirundo rustica (Barn swallow) is the source of this 1946-nucleotide long non-coding RNA. RefSeq lists it as uncharacterized. The record is from RefSeq and is a predicted model, not a curated record. NCBI's taxonomy places the organism in Eukaryota, Metazoa, Chordata, Aves, Passeriformes, Hirundinidae. The transcript has 3 exons.